GUACCGUACCGGACAGCUGCGCUGCAUAAGCCGAAAGGUAUUGCGGUGAGGAAAGUCCGGGCUUCACAGGGCAAGGAUAACAGAUAACGUCUGCCGAGGGUGACCUUAGGGAAAGUGCAACAGAAAAUUACCGCUGUGCUCUGCACAGUAAGGAUGAAAAGGCGAGGUAAGAGCUCACCGGCGCACUGGAGACUUUGCGGCCGUGUAAACCCUAUCCGAAGCAACACCGUUUGCGGAGCGUCGCUUUUUGUGACAAUGCGCCCUGCAUAUCCGCGGGUGGCAAAGAACUUUAUGGCAACAUAAAGUCAAGAUAGAUAGCUGUCUCGGCUGAUAAGCUAUGACAGAACCCGGCUUAUAGGUACGGUACUAUU
RNAcentral lists this RNase P RNA (371 nucleotides) under Clostridiales bacterium. Its description in RNAcentral is "RNase P RNA component class A". It matches the Rfam family "Bacterial RNase P class A". From Rfam's summary of the family: Ribonuclease P (RNase P) is a ubiquitous endoribonuclease, found in archaea, bacteria and eukarya as well as chloroplasts and mitochondria. Its best characterised activity is the generation of mature 5'-ends of tRNAs by cleaving the 5'-leader elements of precursor-tRNAs. Cellular RNase Ps are ribonucleoproteins. The record is from RNAcentral. Lineage: Bacteria; Bacillati; Bacillota; Clostridia; Eubacteriales.